RNAcentral lists this ribosomal RNA (497 nucleotides) under uncultured bacterium. RNAcentral's name for it is "partial 16S ribosomal RNA". It matches the Rfam family "Bacterial small subunit ribosomal RNA", at positions 28 to 507 of the family's 1533-position model. The record is from RNAcentral.
GAUGAACGCUGGCGGCGUGCCUAAUACAUGCAAGUCGAGCGAACAGAUGAGGAGCUUGCUCCUCUGACGUUAGCGGCGGACGGGUGAGUAACACGUGGAUAACCUACCUAUAAGACUGGGAUAACUUCGGGAAACCGGAGCUAAUACCGGAUAAUAUAUUGAACCGCAUGGUUCACUAGUGAAAGACGGUUUUGCUGUCACUUAUAGAUGGAUCCGCGCCGCAUUAGCUAGUUGGUAAGGUAACGGCUUACCAAGGCAACGAUGCGUAGCCGACCUGAGAGGGUGAUCGGCCACACUGGAACUGAGACACGGUCCAGACUCCUACGGGAGGCAGCAGUAGGGAAUCUUCCGCAAUGGGCGAAAGCCUGACGGAGCAACGCCGCGUGAGUGAUGAAGGUCUUCUGAUCGUAAAACUCUGUUAUUAGGGAAGAACAAAUGUGUAAGUAACUAUGCACGUCUUGACGGUACCUAAUCAGAAAGCCACGGCUAACUACGUG